RNAcentral lists this transfer RNA (73 nucleotides) under Candidatus Buchananbacteria bacterium CG10_big_fil_rev_8_21_14_0_10_33_19. Its description in RNAcentral is "tRNA-His". It matches the Rfam family "tRNA". Rfam says of the family: Transfer RNA (tRNA) molecules are approximately 80 nucleotides in length. Their secondary structure includes four short double-helical elements and three loops (D, anti-codon, and T loops). The record is from RNAcentral. Lineage: Bacteria; Candidatus Buchananiibacteriota.
GUGGCUAUGGUGUAGAGGUAACACAGCAGCUUGUGGCGCUGUUAUCGAGGGUUCAAUUCCCUCUAGCCACCCA